This 252-nucleotide ribosomal RNA is filed under the name uncultured bacterium. RNAcentral's name for it is "partial 16S ribosomal RNA". It matches the Rfam family "Bacterial small subunit ribosomal RNA", at positions 524 to 776 of the family's 1533-position model. The record is from RNAcentral.
UACGUAGGGGGCAAGCGUUGUCCGGAUUUAUUGGGCGUAAAGAGCGUGUAGGCGGCCAUACAGGUCCGUUGUGAAAACUGGAGGCUCAACCUCCAGACGUCGACGGAAACCGUAUGGCUAGAGUCCGGAAGAGGAGAGUGGAAUUCCUGGUGUAGCGGUGAAAUGCGCAGAUAUCAGGAAGAACACCCGUGGCGAAGGCGGCUCUCUGGGACGGUACUGACGCUGAGACGCGAAAGCGUGGGAGCGAACAGG